UAUGUACUCCCUCCGUUCAGAAUUACUUGUCUCGGAAAUGGAUGUGUCUAGAACGAAAAUACAUCUAGAGACAUCCAUUUCCGCGACAAGUAAUUCCGAACGGAGGGAGUACAUC
Triticum aestivum (bread wheat) is the source of this 115-nucleotide non-coding RNA. NCBI's taxonomy places the organism in Eukaryota, Viridiplantae, Streptophyta, Magnoliopsida, Poales, Poaceae. The record is from Rfam.